This 526-nucleotide small RNA is filed under the name Histoplasma capsulatum var. duboisii H88. RNAcentral's name for it is "Histoplasma capsulatum H88 hypothetical RNA". The record is from RNAcentral. Lineage: Eukaryota; Fungi; Ascomycota; Eurotiomycetes; Onygenales; Ajellomycetaceae.
AACACUUUUCACAGGGGUGCAGAAAUGCUAGUCCACCAAUGCAUCAAGAAAGAACUAAGUCAUGUCAACACUUGAGCCAAGCUUCAAUCAUCAAGAGACAGUCUCUAGAUGACGUCAUAGAUAGAGAACCUUCCAGAAUUUAGGCAAUUGUUUUCCUUCACAAGAGGGUUCUUCUGAGAGGAUUCUUGUCACACAAAAAAUCAGCCAGUAGGUAGAAUCCUCUCAGAAAAAUCCUCUUGUGAAAUGCUCCUCACAAAAAAUCAGCCAGUAGAAGAAAGGUAGAAUCCUCUCAGAAAAAUCCUCUUGUGAAAUGCUCCUCACAAAAAAUCAGCCAGUAGAAGAAAGGUAGAAUCCUCUCAGGAAAAUUCUCUUGUGAAAUGCAUCUCACAAAAAAUCAGCCAGUAGAAGAAAGGUAGAAUCCUCUCAGAAAAAUCCUCUUGUGAAAUGCAUCUCACAAAAAAUCAGCCAGAAUCCUUACUUGAUAGAAAGGAGGAGUAAAGAACAAUCUACAAACCUCUGUGAGAGA